UUGACCUCGGAUCAGGUAGGGAUACCCGCUGAACUUAAGCAUAUCAAUAACCGGAGGAAGG
RNAcentral lists this ribosomal RNA (61 nucleotides) under Bipolaris zeicola. RNAcentral describes it as "partial 28S ribosomal RNA". The record is from RNAcentral. Lineage: Eukaryota; Fungi; Ascomycota; Dothideomycetes; Pleosporales; Pleosporaceae.